RNAcentral lists this ribosomal RNA (468 nucleotides) under uncultured bacterium. RNAcentral describes it as "partial 16S ribosomal RNA". It matches the Rfam family "Bacterial small subunit ribosomal RNA", at positions 28 to 507 of the family's 1533-position model. The record is from RNAcentral.
GACGAACGCUGGCGGCGUGCUUAACACAUGCAAGUCGAACGGAAAGGCCCUGCUUUUGUGGGGUGCUCGAGUGGCGAACGGGUGAGUAUCACGUGAGUAACCUGCCCUUGACUUUGGGAUAACUUCAGGAAAGUGGGGCUACUACCGGAUAGGAGCUCCUGCUGCAUGGUGGGGGUUGGAAAGUUUCGGCGGUUGGGGAUGGACUCGCGGCUUAUCAGCUUGCUGGUGGGGGAGUGGCUUGCCAAGGCUUGGACGGGUAGCCGGCCUGAGAGGGUGACCGGCCACAUUGGGGCUGAGAUACGGCCCAGACUCCUACGGGAGGCAGCAGUGGGGAAUAUUGCACAAUGGGCGGAAGCCUGAUGCAGCAACGCCGCGUGCGGGAUGACGGCCUUCGGGUUGUAAACCGCUUUCGCCUGUGACGAAGCGUGAGUGACGGUAAUGGGUAAAGAAGCACCGGCUAACUACGUG